GUUUUUCCUGAUCUGUUCUU
RNAcentral lists this small nuclear RNA (20 nucleotides) under Arabidopsis thaliana (thale cress). RNAcentral describes it as "snRNA_14933". Lineage: Eukaryota; Viridiplantae; Streptophyta; Magnoliopsida; Brassicales; Brassicaceae. The record is from RNAcentral.